AAAAAAUGAAACAAAUGUGCUUUGUGUACUUUCCUUGACUGAGGAGUAAUGUGGGUAAGAGAAAGGACUCUUUGCUUAUUUAUGGAUUUAGGACUCUGUGCUGAUUUAUGUAAGCACAGUUGCAUUUCUGUGUAAGCGGAAGACAGAUAAUUCUUUCUAUUAAAGGGGACGUUCAGUGUAGCUACUGCAGAGCACCGUCAGGACACAGGCCUCCCAACCAAUGCAGGCUCAGCCCUCCACAGCCCCUCAGGAGGGACUCAGUGCAUCUCAAGGGAGUUUUAUCCUUAAAAACUAGAAGCCAUAUGGACAUCUACUUUGGGAGGAUUUGGUGGGCCUCAGGGGCCUCUAGCAGCAGAAGGCCCUGGCUUCCUGAACGCAGACGGUGCGGGUCUCAUCACAGCAAACCCCCUUGUUUUUCUGUUCCUCUGCUGCCUUUCAGGGGACACUGUUUGGCUUUCACCCGGUCACAGGUGUACUAACACACAUGACUAACACAGGAUUUUUGUCUUAUGCACACAGAACUGCAUGGGAGAAACAAAACCACCAGCGAGCAGAGAGGCCGAGGCUUGGCUCUGCUGUGAGAGCGUCAAGGUCCCUGCAGCCCUGAGCUGCUGCAGAACCCACAGGAACCAACUUCCAGAGCUUGUUUCUGGGGUCCUGGUGCAGGGACCCCACCCACUGUGCUCAGAUGGAGCUUGAAGCUCUCAGACCUCAGGCUCCCGUGGCUGCUAUCACCAGGCUUCAUGGCCCAGUCCCCAAAGUGGGUGGACCCAAUUUUGAGGACUUGUGUUUCCCCUACUCCCUGCAGUUGACGCUGACAUCAGUGUCUGCUUGUGGUUUCAGCCAGUAUCUUG
Molecule: long non-coding RNA, 854 nt
Filed under: Homo sapiens (human)
Lineage: Eukaryota; Metazoa; Chordata; Mammalia; Primates; Hominidae
Description: LHRI_LNC925.1
Source: RNAcentral